AUCAGAACUCUCGCUGGACAAAGUCGC
Molecule: non-coding RNA, 27 nt
Filed under: Bombyx mori (domestic silkworm)
Lineage: Eukaryota; Metazoa; Arthropoda; Insecta; Lepidoptera; Bombycidae
Source: RNAcentral